Zea mays is the source of this 184-nucleotide long non-coding RNA. RefSeq lists it as uncharacterized. The record is from RefSeq and is a predicted model, not a curated record. The transcript has 2 exons. Lineage: Eukaryota; Viridiplantae; Streptophyta; Magnoliopsida; Poales; Poaceae.
CUCACGUCCUACCCAGUCCUCGCCAACCACCUGCCCGGUUUCCCUCUCCCCCCUCACUCAACGCCGCGUAGGCAGCAGGAGCCGCCAAGUUCGCCCGUCCGCGCACCUGUCCGAGAUAAUGGUCCGUUUGCGGAGUCCGAGGAAGUUGCAGGCGAAGACCCUAAGCAGCAGCUGGUUGGUGAAG